Molecule: ribosomal RNA, 492 nt
Filed under: uncultured bacterium
Lineage: Bacteria
Description: partial 16S ribosomal RNA
Rfam family: Bacterial small subunit ribosomal RNA
Source: RNAcentral
AUUGAACGCUGGCGGCAUGCUUUACACAUGCAAGUCGAACGGUAACAGGCCUUCGGGUGCUGACGAGUGGCGCACGGGUGAGUAAUGCAUCGGAACGUGCCCAGAGGUGGGGGAUAACGCAGCGAAAGCUGUGCUAAUACCGCAUGUGAUCUGAGGAUGAAAGCGGGGGACCAAGCAGCAAUGUUUGGCCUCGCGCCUCUGGAGCGGCCGAUGUCAGAUUAGGUAGUUGGUGGGGUAAAGGCCUACCAAGCCGACGAUCUGUAGCUGGUCUGAGAGGACGACCAGCCACACUGGGACUGAGACACGGCCCAGACUCCUACGGGAGGCAGCAGUGGGGAAUUUUGGACAAUGGGCGCAAGCCUGAACCAGCAAUGCCGCGUGCGGGAAGAAGGCCUUCGGGUUGUAAACCGCUUUUGUACGGAACGAAAAGGCUCUGGCUAAUACCUGGGGCUGAUGACGGUACCGUAAGAAUAAGCACCGGCUAACUACGUG